This is a non-coding RNA of Poecilia latipinna (sailfin molly), 1082 nucleotides long. Lineage: Eukaryota; Metazoa; Chordata; Actinopteri; Cyprinodontiformes; Poeciliidae. The record is from the annotation of a RefSeq genome assembly.
UAUUCCACCUUAUUUUUGGUGGAAAAGUCCAAUUUUAAUGACACCAUUCUUCGAUGGGAGAGUUAUUAGCAUAAACUUAAGUCUGAGAUCAUUUUAAUGACGCUGAAUAAACUUACACCCCUCAGUCUUGCUUUGUGUGUUUUUCUGAGUCUCCUGUUGAGGUUUUUAGAAGACGUUCAGAUAAGUUUUAAGUGUUUUGUUCGCUGGGCUCUGAAGCGUGGAGGACCAAGGAAUGAAUGCUGCAAAUCUACAACUCGAUGCAAUCUGCAGGGUUUCCUUAGGUAGAAAACUUUUGAAAAUAAUUUCAAUAGUAAGCUGAACUUGAUGCAUUGAUUGAUGACAAUGAUCAAUUGGAAUCGAUGGAACUGAUCUGGAAUCUAUCUGGAUGAUUCAUUUGAACUGAUUAGAUUUUUCUUUAUAAACUGGAUAUUUUAUCUGUAAUUUUAAGUUUUCUAAUAUAUAUUUAAAGAUGGUUUGCUUGGUAUUUUGAUCCUGCAUUAAUUUAUUCUCUGGUUAUUUCUGCUGAGAGGAAGAGGAGGAAGAGGAGGAGCUGAUCUGUUCCUGAUCUCUAAGAGACUCAAACUUCCUCCUUCAGUUCAGUUCAACUCUCCAACAUUAACUCUGCUCAACAUGGACUAUUAUGGUCUGUCUCUGCUCAUCGCCUCUCUGGUAACAGGAGUCAGAUGCCAACAACUCACUGCACAUCAGAAUGAAGAGUUCGCUGUAGAAAACAGCAACGUUACUCUGUCCUACAAUUACUCCAAACAAGCAGACGGCAACGAUUAUUUCUUCUGGUAUCGUCAAUAUCCUGGAAAACCUCCACAGUUCCUGAUCUCCCAUUUAGGAACAGGAGUGCAAACAUCUCAGCAGCUUCCUCGUUUGUCCUUUAACAUGAAUGCUGAUAAAACCCGGAUGGAUCUGCUGAUCUCCUCUGCUGCAGUGACAGACUCUGCUGUGUACUACUGCGCUGUGAGGCCCACAGUGACAGGAAACACCAGAACCCUGUACAAAAACCUGCAGUACUCCACAGCAGCCACUAGAGGGCCUCACUCCCUGUUAAACCACUAAAACCUGCAGUACUC